RNAcentral lists this ribosomal RNA (814 nucleotides) under Escherichia coli. Its description in RNAcentral is "partial 23S ribosomal RNA". It matches the Rfam family "Bacterial large subunit ribosomal RNA", at positions 1920 to 2733 of the family's 2925-position model. The record is from RNAcentral. Lineage: Bacteria; Pseudomonadati; Pseudomonadota; Gammaproteobacteria; Enterobacterales; Enterobacteriaceae.
CCGGUAAACGGCGGCCGUAACUAUAACGGUCCUAAGGUAGCGAAAUUCCUUGUCGGGUAAGUUCCGACCUGCACGAAUGGCGUAAUGAUGGCCAGGCUGUCUCCACCCGAGACUCAGUGAAAUUGAACUCGCUGUGAAGAUGCAGUGUACCCGCGGCAAGACGGAAAGACCCCGUGAACCUUUACUAUAGCUUGACACUGAACAUUGAGCCUUGAUGUGUAGGAUAGGUGGGAGGCUUUGAAGUGUGGACGCCAGUCUGCAUGGAGCCGACCUUGAAAUACCACCCUUUAAUGUUUGAUGUUCUAACGUUGACCCGUAAUCCGGGUUGCGGACAGUGUCUGGUGGGUAGUUUGACUGGGGCGGUCUCCUCCUAAAGAGUAACGGAGGAGCACGAAGGUUGGCUAAUCCUGGUCGGACAUCAGGAGGUUAGUGUAAUGGCAUAAGCCAGCUUGACUGCGAGCGUGACGGCGCGAGCAGGUGCGAAAGCAGGUCAUAGUGAUCCGGUGGUUCUGAAUGGAAGGGCCAUCGCUCAACGGAUAAAAGGUACUCCGGGGAUAACAGGCUGAUACCGCCCAAGAGUUCAUAUCGACGGCGGUGUUUGGCACCUCGAUGUCGGCUCAUCACAUCCUGGGGCUGAAGUAGGUCCCAAGGGUAUGGCUGUUCGCCAUUUAAAGUGGUACGCGAGCUGGGUUUAGAACGUCGUGAGACAGUUCGGUCCCUAUCUGCCGUGGGCGCUGGAGAACUGAGGGGGGCUGCUCCUAGUACGAGAGGACCGGAGUGGACGCAUCACUGGUGUUCGGGUUGUCAUGCCAAU